AGGGCACACAGAUGUAGUGCAUCAACAUCAGGGGAUAAAAGGCUGGGCUGAAGGACAGGAAGGGCAGAUGCUGGCAGCCUUCUGAAGUGGCAGGAUGUUACUCUGUGUGGGCAGAUGCCUGACGCUUUCUGGUGAGGAAAGAAAAAGGGACUAGUGAGUAGUGAAGAGAAGAAGCUGCCUUCAUCUCAGGAAAUGCAGCUGUCAUGUAAACUCUGAGUGUGUAGUGCCAUCUGCUUAAUACUUGAAGUUGCUUUUGAAUCACAGAAUGGAAGAAUCUCAGUUUGAGAAUUUUAAGAACUUCUCAAAAGAUGUAAAGCAGGAGGAACAGCCUUUAUUCCUGUACUCUGGUGUGUGUUGCACCACUUCAUACGUUCCAAAGGAAGGGGAGAAAAUAAGAUGUAUGGAUUCCGUAUAAAAUAUGGAGACUUAAAAAAACAAUGUAAUAAAGAUGAAUAAUGGAGAAAAAAGAACUAGUGGCAAUUCCCCGUGUUCAGCACUGGUUUCCAAAGCUACAUAGAAAACCUCCAGAAGGAAUGAGGCUGCCCAAGCCUGAAGUCUGAAAUGAGCAGGGGUUAAAGGGCACUUAAUGCAGGAGCUGUGUUUGAAUACAGACUGCCAUUGCCCUCUUGUCAAAAGUUAUUUCCCACUAGGUUUCAACCCCCAGACUGGAAAAACCUAACUACAAGCCUUGUUCUGCAAGCUACCUUGGGAAGCCUUCCUGGGGACUCAUUAAGUAUUCCUGCAGUAUGAAAGUUUUUUUCUUCUAGAAGAGUGAAAGAAUAGAAGGAGGUAGAGACACCUGACUAGAAAAUUUAUUCUGCCUUACACUUACACUCCUGGCAAACACAGCCGCCUCUUCAGAGAGCUGCCAAAUUCAUGUCCUGUAAGUCUCAGCUGCCCCCUUCUCAGCUGCCACAACUUCCAGCUUCCUUUUGACAACCUAGGAAAUAUCUCCUGUCUUCACUGUGAAAAACUAAGUGCAAAAAUUUGUCUUUACCACGGAAGAGAUGCCAUCAGUAGUACUGGAUGAAGAGGAGAGGUUGGAGGAUGGCGGUGCUGCCUAAUUUUGUCUCUGCCACAGAAGGGUGAAAUUGCAGAACAGAAGGAUGAAAUGGCAUCUAGAUCAAGCCCUCAACUAGGCAAAAAUAUCUGCCUAGAAGUAAAAGCAGCAGGAGAUGUAAUUGGAGAUACAGCUUUUUGAAGACACCAAGAAGUCUGACUUAUGAGUGAAGGCUGUUCUCAACCUCCUUGGAGUUUACAUAUUGAUCCAGGAUCCUGUUUUCUUGAAUGAUCCAGUUGUGAGUGACUCUUGUCAUGAAUAAAUGAGCAAUGACCAAUGAGGGUCAAGGUAAAAAUGGCCUGGGAGGAAGCCAAGUGAUAAGUUCCUUCAAAAUCUCUUAAUUAGAUUUUAAGAACAUAUUGGAUCUAGGAAAGAAGAGAAUUGAUCUUGUAACUUUCAUGUUACCUGAGUAUUCUGGGAUCCCUGCUGCCAGCUGCUGGUUUUGCUCCCUCUAAGUGCAUCCUGGUCUGAUUUAAAAAAGACAAACAAACCAAAACAGACCAAGCAGUCUGAAUCUCUGAAGAUAUUUCCAACAAAUGCUGUUCAGUGGUCAUGGCAAACCUUCAAUUAACAGAUUUGAUGCAACAUAUAUCAUUAUCCCAUUAUCAAGUCAUCCUUUUCUUCAUUGUCUUUUAAGGAGCUCCUGAAUCAGUGGACUUCAUGCAAAGCCUGGAGAAAUUGCCACUGUGGAGAUGCUUAGAAAUAAUGGACAUUAUCACAUGGGUGUAAUUAGAAAUCAUUCAUAUUAUCCUUCUAUGGCAGAUUUUCAGUACUCGGUGGGACCAUUUCUUCUUCCCUGAGAUGCAAUGGAGACAUAUAACGGGAGUGCCAAUACCAGCUGGGUCCAGCCAGGCAAGGAGCAGCAGAGAAAUUGCCACCAGAGGGAGAAGGUUGAGCCAAGCAAGUCUUCUCCACCACAUGUACAGCCACAAACUUGGAAGGGAGUGAAGUAGUUCAAACUAGGUAAUUUUGCAGUCUCCACCCCUUAUGAUUGUGAUUAAUUGGGACAGUGAUUAAAGAAAGAUAUUUUAUGAUUAAGAGGCAAACACGAAGUAGUGGGCUCAACUCUCUUCUGUCAAGAAAUCUACUGUGGAACAUGACUGAAAAGUCUUUCAUGUGUGAGCACUCAAAGGUGAUGAGUAUUCAAAACAUCCUGAGUCUUGUCACAGAGAUUUCUUUAUGCAUAUAUGAGACGUGGCUGUGCAUCCUGAAUACAACUCAGAUACCCAGACUGAGCAGAAGGUCCUUAUCUGCUGACAACAGAAAAUGUUUUGGUGGUACUUCUACCCACACCUGCAGAAGCCUGGCAGCAUCAGCCUCAUGACUUGGCAGAUCAUGGGAGGAGCCAGAGAAACCCUCUGGAAAACUUGAUUUUUAGACAUGUAUGAGUAGGAAUCCAGCCUGUGAUUUAUUUUUAAAUGUUGCUGGGAAGCAAGAGAAGUGUUUGCUAACAAAGGCUGCCCUGAGGCACUGAAGGUGUCAAAAUCUUUGUCAUUGGUUCCUUCAGUCACUGUAAGAGUAUUUUCAUCUGGAAUAUCAUGCUAAAUACCCUUCAACUUUGUGUGAGGAUGGACACAAUUCCCCUCUCAAAGAGGGAAAGAAUACUUUGCCUGAAGAUGGUUUUUAAAGUUUGAAUGUGAUUCUCAGCUAUAGAAGAAGUCAGUUUGGUUUUGGUUUCAGAGCAUCUGCAGACAGGGUUUGGCUGCUGAACCCACAAGCGGAUCCCUCAGUCUCACUUUUGCCUUCCUAAGUGAUACACACAGGAUUCCUACACCGCUUAGCAAAGCCAAUGAAGUUAUUUUUUAGCCAUCAGAGAACAGGAAGGACAGAAAUCUGCUAAGCAACCUCUGCUAUGCUGCAUGCCAGGCUAUAGAAUAGCUGUUUAACAGGCCCCCAUGGAGAACUGGAUUUACAGUCCUGUGCUUCCUGAGAUACAGUGCUUUUGAUAUGAAAACAAAAGAAAAAAGUUUAAGACAGAAAACAAUAUUCUGUUCAACUGUGAGGGGACAAAAACGUCUCAAUAACUGGAAAUGCAUCAUGAGGGGCCAUAGAGAACACUUAAAAUGCAGAUUUUAUAAUAAGGUUUCAAUGGAGGAAGAUUGUUGUGGGUGCUCCUUUGAUGGUGUGUUUCUCUAGACUAAACCUUUCCGUGUUCAUUCAUAUAGGAGAGAAGCUUAACCCCGACCCUUCUCCCAAAUCAAAGAAAAGGAAAAAUGAAGGAAUGUGAAGAGAAUAACGUGGAGACACCAAGGUCAGUGAGGAAGGAGUCAAGUCUGAGAUGGAGGGACACAUCUUAACCCUGGCCUGAAAUUCUGUGCUCCAGGGUACAACUGCACAGCUGAAAAGUGAAGGUGAAAAGAGAGUUAGCUGGAUAAAAUGUUUGUGAAUUUAGAAAUCUCAGUUCAGACCUGUUUGAAAAAGAAUACCUGCUCCACCUUGUCAGUAGCAUUGAUGAGCAUCUCAAGGAUGAAACUCUGAGUAACACUAUUAUCCUUCGAUGUGUAUUAUGAAGUGUUUAACUCUGAAGUUGGGGAACCACUUCUGGAGAGAUAUUGGAACAAGAGACUUAUGUACAGUUGAAACCCAGAUUUUGAGUAAAGUUGCAUUUUGAUUCAGAUAAAGUGCAGACAAAUGAGGAGAAGAACUCCAGUGAUCUUGCCAAGUGGAGCAGUAAACUGGAUAAUCUGUUGAGUCACCUGUGAUGUGAAUGCAAAAGGCUGGAGUGCAUAAAGCAUGGGAAAGUGAGACCUACAUUAAGGUGGUGUAGGUCAUGUGGUAGUUUCUGUCACAGAAAUAAGAAUGGAACUGUAAUGCCAAUGCAGGCUGUGAAAUGAUGAGUGAGUUACUGGAAUGUGAUGGUCUGGAAUCCACUUAUGGGUUUUCCUACCUAGAGAGAAAAGAGAACUGGCAAUCAAAAGAGAAGUACUGAAUAAGGCAGAAUGACGUAUUUCACUAUAAGAAGUGAGUGGGAAGGUACCUAUUGAAAGCCAAAAAGGUGUUGACUAAAUCAGAAGCAUUGAACUCUGCUUUCUAUAGCUUGGAAUGAUUGAGGAUUUUGUCUAGACAAAUUUACCAGGGCCUGGUUCAAAUCAUAUGAACAACUACAAAAUAUGAAUGAGCCUCUGUGGGUGUCAUAGCCAAAUUCAGUUCCAUCUGAAGUGAUUCUUCAUAAUUUACUUACAAACUGGAAGACAUAAGUUUGUCCAGGGAACGGGCUGCAUCAGAAUCAGAGAUCAUUCUUCAGCUGAGAUUAUGUACAAGAUGUCUUGAAUUUCCCUUCUUUGCAAACUGGGUACCAGCAUAGCUCUGAAGUGAAAAGUAAAUCAUCAGUCUCAUGAAGAAGCCAAGUCAACUCUGAUUUUACAUAACUUAUAUAAACUCAGAUAACCAGACUGGUGAUUUUCUAACUGUGCUUCAAAAUGUCCUUUGAGCAAAUGAGAUAUAAAAAGGAGUGCCUUGUGUUCAAUGAGGAUGGAUAAGCGGAUUUGUCUGGUUGGGAUAACCUUUUGGCACAAGUGGUUUGUCAGAAAUCAGCACCAUUUGACCUCUGGACAAAGGACCCUGGGAAAGUGAAGGCUGAAGAGUGAAAUAGAAGAGGAGUACUGUAGUUGGGGAGACACAAGUUAAGCAAGAGCUGAAGGGCAGAAGGCACAGCAGGAGACAUGGAAAGGCAAAGUGCUUCAUAGGAAGCUGUGAUCAGUAUUGGGAGUGCAAUGUAACAUUUCUUUAGUAAUUGCAGUCAUUCUACCUGUAUAGUUCUGAGAAAAAAUACAUCCCAGACAUGUAGAAGAUUGUUGACUCUAGGGUAGAUAAUAACCAGUAUGGGUCAGGUAGGUCACCAGUAUGAACUGGUCACUAACUAUAGGUGGUUACAGGUAAGAUGAAUUUUUUCAUCUUUUCUGCUGAAGAAUGAGCCAGAACUACUGCAAAGUCCACCUCUUUCUAUAAUGAAACCUCUCCUCCUGUCUAUUGAGGACUUGCAGAGAAUACUUUUCACACAUGGGUUCUGUCAAGCUGAUUUCUUGGGUUGUUGAUCUUGAAACAGUUUCCACAAAGAACUGUAGCUGAAAUACAGGACUAAGUCUAGUUCCUGUCUUUGCACAAAACAGAUUUUUCUGGCCCUAAAUGGUUAGUGUGAUAUAUUUAAGAAUAUAAAACCCAAUUUCUGUAUUUGGAAUUAGACCAGAAUAAAUAAAAACCAAAAUAUGCUUUGUGCUGCAUAGUUUAUAAUUGAGUUUGCUUCCAUUUUUUCUGUCUUGAACAUAUAGGUUAUAAAUUAAUGGGGCAGCAGACUGAA
Long non-coding RNA from Passer domesticus (house sparrow), 5357 nucleotides. RefSeq lists it as uncharacterized. The transcript is spliced from 32 exons. NCBI's taxonomy places the organism in Eukaryota, Metazoa, Chordata, Aves, Passeriformes, Passeridae. The record is from RefSeq and is a predicted model, not a curated record.